CUACUAUUCUUUCUACUUUAGGGGUGGAAAUCGAAGGAGAUGGAGCCGAUGAAGGACGUGAUAAGCUGCGAUAAGCUUGGGGGAGUUGCACGUAAACUGUGAUCCCAAGAUUUCCGAAUGAGGAAACUCACUUAGAGUAAUGUCUAAGUAUCGUAUAGUGAAUACAUA
Molecule: ribosomal RNA, 168 nt
Filed under: Terrisporobacter muris
Lineage: Bacteria; Bacillati; Bacillota; Clostridia; Peptostreptococcales; Peptostreptococcaceae
Description: partial 23S ribosomal RNA
Rfam family: Bacterial large subunit ribosomal RNA
Source: RNAcentral